This 966-nucleotide ribosomal RNA is filed under the name uncultured bacterium. RNAcentral's name for it is "bacterial SSU rRNA". It matches the Rfam family "Bacterial small subunit ribosomal RNA", at positions 1 to 929 of the family's 1533-position model. The record is from RNAcentral.
CCCCUUAGAGUUUGAUCCUGGCUCAAACGAACGCUGGCGGCGUGGAUAAGACAUGCAAGUCGAACGGGACAUUGUGAGUAGCAAUACAAGCAAUGUCUAGUGGCGAACGGGUGCGUAACACGUGGAUACAUUCCGGGAAGCGGGGGAUAGCCCAGGGAAACUUGGAUUAAUACCGCAUGUGAUCGAGAGAUCAAAGACGGGGACCGCAAGGCCUGUCACUUCCCGAUUGGUCCGCGGCCUAUCAGCUAGUUGGCGGGGUAAAAGCCCACCAAGGCUACGAGGGGUAGCUGGUCUUAGAGGACGACCAGCCACACUGGAACUGAGACACGGUCCAGACACCUACGGGUGGCAGCAGUCGAGAAUCUUUCACAAUGGGGGCAACCCUGAUGGAGCGACGCCGCGUGGAAGAUAAGGUCUUCGGAUUGUAAACUCCUGUCAUGUGAAAACAAGGCUGCCGGGUUAAUAACCUUGCAGAUUGAUGGUACCACAAGAGGAAGAGACGGCUAACUCUGUGCCAGCAGCCGCGGUAAUAACAGAGGUCUCAAGCGUUGUUCGGAAUCACUGGGCGUAAAGGGUGGCUAAGGUGGGCGUGGUUAAGUCAAAAGGUGAAAAGCCCCGGGGGCCUCCACCCUCGGUAUUUGCAUCCGAUACUGCCGUGCUAGAGUACUGGAAGAAGGUGACUUAUAAUUCUCGGGUGGUAGCAGUUGAAAUGCGUAAAUUAUCGAGAAGGAAUACCAACGGCGAAGGCAGGUCACUGGGUCUAUUUACUGACACUGAGGCACGAAGGCCAGGGGAGCAAACGGGAUUAGAUACCCCCGGUAGUCCUGACAGUAAAGCGUGCACAUUUGUGUGGUGUGGGCGCAAUCGAACGCGUCCGCGCAGGAGCUUAACGCGUUAAAAUGGCCGUCUAGAGAAGUACGGUCGCAAGAUCACACUUCAAGUAACGAACGAGGCACCCGCCACAAG